GAUGAACGCUGGCGGCGUGCCUAAUACAUGCCAGUCGAGCGAACGGACGAGAAGCUUGCUUCUCUGAUGUUAGCGGCGGACGGGUGAGUAACACGUGGAUAACCUACCUAUAAGACUGGGAUAACUUCGGGAAACCGGAGCUAAUACCGGAUAAUAUUUUGAACCGCAUGGUUCAAAAGUGAAUGACGGUCUUUCUGUCACUUAUAGAUGGAUCCGCGCUGCAUUAGCUAGUUGGUAAGGUAACGGCUUACCAAGGCAACGAUGCAUAGCCGACGUGAGAGGGUGAUCGGCCACACUGGAAGUGAGACACGGUCCAGACUCCUACGGGAGGCAGCAGUAGGGAAUCUUCCGCAAUGGGCGAAAGCCUGACGGAGCAACGCCGCGUGAGUGAUGAAGGUCUUCGGAUCGUAAAACUCUGUUAUUAGGGAAGAACAGAUGUGUAAGUAACUGUGCACAUCUUGACGGUACCUAAUCAGAAAGCCACGGCUAACUACGUG
RNAcentral lists this ribosomal RNA (497 nucleotides) under uncultured bacterium. RNAcentral describes it as "partial 16S ribosomal RNA". It matches the Rfam family "Bacterial small subunit ribosomal RNA", at positions 28 to 507 of the family's 1533-position model. The record is from RNAcentral.